CCUACGGGUGGCUGCAGUGGGGAAUAUUGUACAAUGGGCGAAAGCCUGAUCCAGCCAUGCCGCGUGUGUGAAGAAGGCCUUCGGGUUGUAAAGCACUUUCAGUGGGGAAGAAAGCCUUGGGGCUAAUACCCUCGAGGAAGGACAUCACCCACAGAAGAAGCACCGGCUAACUCCGUGCCAGCAGCCGCGGUAAUACGGAGGGUGCGAGCGUUAAUCGGAAUUACUGGGCGUAAAGCGCGCGUAGGCGGUCUGAUAAGCCGGUUGUGAAAGCCCCGGGCUCAACCUGGGAACGGCAUCCGGAACUGUCAGGCUAGAGUGCAGGAGAGGAAGGUAGAAUUCCCGGUGUAGCGGUGAAAUGCGUAGAGAUCGGGAGGAAUACCAGUGGCGAAGGCGGCCUUCUGGACUGACACUGACGCUGAGGUGCGAAAGCGUGGGUAGCAAACAGGAUUAGAUACCCGAGUAGUC
This 465-nucleotide ribosomal RNA is filed under the name Vreelandella stevensii. RNAcentral describes it as "partial 16S ribosomal RNA". It matches the Rfam family "Bacterial small subunit ribosomal RNA", at positions 338 to 795 of the family's 1533-position model. Lineage: Bacteria; Pseudomonadati; Pseudomonadota; Gammaproteobacteria; Oceanospirillales; Halomonadaceae. The record is from RNAcentral.